CCUACGGGAGGCAGCAGUGAGGAAUAUUGGUCAAUGGCCGCAGGGCUGAACCAGCCAAGUCGCGUGAGGGCUGACGGUCCUAUGGAUUGUAACCCUCUUUUGUCAGGGAGCAAAGGGCGCCACGUGUGGCGCUUUGCGAGUACCUGAAGAAAAAGCAUCGGCUAACUCCGUGCCAGCAGCCGCGGUAAUACGGAGGAUGCGAGCGUUAUCCGGCUUUAUUGGGUUUAAAGGGUGCGCAGGCGGAAUGUCAAGUCAGCGGUAAAAUUUCGGGGCUCACCCCCGUCGUGCCGUUGAAACUGGCGUUCUUGAGUGAGCGAGAAGUAUGCGGAAUGCGUGGUGUAGCGGUGAAAUGCAUAGAUAUCACGCAGAACUCCGAUUGCGAAGGCAGCAUACCGGCGCUCAACUGACGCUCAUGCACGAAAGCGUGGGUAUCGAACAGGAUUAGAUACCCGGGUAGUC
RNAcentral lists this ribosomal RNA (459 nucleotides) under uncultured bacterium. Its description in RNAcentral is "partial 16S ribosomal RNA". It matches the Rfam family "Bacterial small subunit ribosomal RNA", at positions 338 to 795 of the family's 1533-position model. The record is from RNAcentral.